This is a long non-coding RNA of Sinocyclocheilus rhinocerous, 299 nucleotides long. RefSeq lists it as uncharacterized. The transcript has 4 exons. Lineage: Eukaryota; Metazoa; Chordata; Actinopteri; Cypriniformes; Cyprinidae. The record is from RefSeq and is a predicted model, not a curated record.
UUUGUACCUGCUAGCUCGAAACAAGCUUGAUUGUCGAAGUUGUCAGGAUUGGCGCAGGAUUACCAUAUUGUAGCAGCCAGAUAAUAUUCUUAUGAGAACCUGUGAUCUCCAGUCAUGGCUAGUCCAGAUGAUUUAACGUUUCAGGAGUUUGAGGAGGCCGCAGAUCUCCUGUCUUCAAAUCCUGGAGCCUCCACCCUCAGCAUCUCCAGCCCCGGCGCAGCAGUCUUCUCUGGAGAUGUCAAAGUUGAUCUGUCAGACGAUGAAGACCAUCAGCAAGAGAGUUCAGAGUUGCUUGGGGG